GUCAUUUCUGGAAGUGAGAAGGCAGCUGGUAGGGUAUACCUGCACCAUUUCUUUGUCUUUUUUGACGUUGCCUUUCUUCUCCUCCUUUAUUUUUACUCUUGUUAUAACCCCUUCUCUUCCUUCUCAUAUCAUUCUCAUUCACCCAUUCAUCAUCACAACCACACUGUCUUCUUUCUCUCUUUCUCUCUCUCUCUGACCCCCCUUGAAGAUAGCCGAAACUCAUGGGGGACACAGUGAGAAGAGAGUGAACCAUGAAAACAAAACCUUUUCUCUUUCUCUCUCUUUCUCUCCCUCUUAGCUCUUCAAGAAGAAGGGCCAUUUUUGGGAAGCUUUGUCUUUUGAGGGGAAUGUUGUCUGGCUCGAGGACCCUUCAUCUUCAUCUUGUGUAUCUGCAUCCCUCUCUUUUGUAGAGUGCUAUGCUUGUGCUCAAGGAAUGUAUAGUGUUGUCGGACCAGGCUUCAUUCCCCCCAAUUAUAUGCUUCCAAAUUGAUUUUCGGCCCAAAAUCGACAUAUCUUCCGGCUGAGAGCUACAAAUAUGUGGAUUCCUUUUCCUUCACAAACUGGUGUUUUUCUCAACGGAUAUUAUUUCGUGGAGAUCGAGCCGUGGCGAUGUAGUGUGUUUGUAGCAUCUGCUGAUGAAAUGCUUUAUAGGUUUGCUUGGUAUCUCCUCUAUGUUUUUUUGGAACUGUGGAUUAGUGUAAAAGUUUUGUUUUUUUCUUAAAUAUAGGUAGAUCUUAGUCGUGGGGUUGGGUUCUUGGAUGAAUUAAAGAUGGUGGUAGUUUGCAGAUUGGUGUAAUGAUGAAGCAUUUUGACCCGGUUUUCACUUGGCAAAAGGUUUUCAUCAUUACCUCCUUUUCGUUUCUUUCUUUUUCUCUGAUCAAGUUAUGAUGGUGUUUUUGUUGUCAGGGCGUAACUACCUUUUUUUUCUUUCAUCUUCAUCAUUAGCUAGAUCUUCUCCCAAUUAUGUUUUCCAGUAUCCGAUCUGUCUGUCUCUGCCAUGUUUUCUCAGAUCUGGCCAACUUUGAAACUCAGUUAGACAUUCUCCUCUUUUUCAAGUCCCCCUCCCACCCUUCUUUUUCCAUUUUUUUCUUUCUCUCUCUACCUGAUUCCUCUCUCACUCUCUCUUUAGGGUUUCGUGGCCUAUGUUCUGUCUCUAAUCUCCAUCGCUUAGCUGGUCCUGGAGUCUUUGAUGAAGAAGCAAAUAGCUGAUCCCUUUUAUCAGUAUUAUUAUGAUUAUUAGUCAUUUCACCAUUGUAAAACCGUAUGGUCAAAUCGAGGCCUAAUUAAUUUGGUUAAAUGUGCCAUGUGUUACUGGCAUGCAUAUGAUUCAAGAGCCUUGUAGACUCCGCCCUUUCUCUUUAUUGGAGUCUUCUCCUUCUGUCUAUUAAGCAUUUAUCAAUCCUGUGAUUUUUUUUUCAUCUAUGUUCGAUACUAAAUUACAGAUCCUUAAAUCUUUUCUUGUUAUUGUGGGUAGCAUUUACCUUCCUUUCAUGGGUUCUGUAAUGUCACACGCUCAGAUCUACAUUUUUCUCUGUUUGCUUUGUCGUUCGUUUUCAUAUCAAUUUGUAAUUAAAAAUUAAUAGAUCUGAGCACCACCAGUACAGAAUAGAAAAACCUUUUUGAAGUAUGGCUGUAUUUUCUUGUCUGUGCUGCUGAACCUUGUGAGUUUUUCAAUGGGCAACUUUAAAUUUUCCGUCUUUUUAACAUAUCUCAUUUGAUAGCUGAAACCCUAAUUUCCUGCACGAUCAAUAAGAAACAACGUGCAAGAUGGUUCCUUUCGUAUCGGUCUAGUUUUGAUGUUGGCAGAGAAGAAGCAAAGACAAAACGAAACUCCCAUCAUUAAUAGUUACAGUUCUUCGAGGAAAAGGUAAUUAAUUUGUUUAUUAAGGAUAAUGAAUGUUGAUCAUUACAAUUGAUAAGCAUUACAAUUGCGCAUUUUAGCCCUCCCUCUGAUCACAGAAGCAGCAAAAGAAAGUGAAUGCUUCGUUAGGAAGCAAAGAUAUCUUAUGCAGGUCAGUGUUUGAGCAACUGUACAUUGUCCCAGAAGGCAUCAUUGCAGUGUUACCGAGGAUUUGGAAGACACUACAGCAUCAUAUUAAGCUUGAUUCAGAAUAGAAGACAAAAAGAGUCUGCACAUAGCGAGGGGCAUUGGGGAACACGAAUGACAUAAUCACAGUGCUCAAAGCUCAUACAGCACUACUUUUCUUUGUCACCAUUGUUGUUCAAUAUUCAUACUUGCACGCAAAUGUGAACACUUUAUUAUUUUCAACGCAACUCAUGUAUCCAACCAAAGUCUCUUGCUAGAAUUAAUAUAUAUCAUUUGAAUUUUCAUUUUUGAUUUGAAA
Molecule: long non-coding RNA, 2345 nt
Organism: Vigna umbellata (rice bean)
Lineage: Eukaryota; Viridiplantae; Streptophyta; Magnoliopsida; Fabales; Fabaceae
Source: RefSeq, a predicted model, not a curated record